RNAcentral lists this unclassified non-coding RNA (224 nucleotides) under Hevea brasiliensis (rubber tree). The record is from RNAcentral. Lineage: Eukaryota; Viridiplantae; Streptophyta; Magnoliopsida; Malpighiales; Euphorbiaceae.
AAAAAAAAAAUAUUCUGAACAAGGAAGGACAAAAGUCAUAGCAUAGUUUAGCCUAGACAACUGCAGAAAAAGUAACAAAAAGGAAACAAAUCAGCGCUAAUCAGAGCAAAAUACAGCAGCAGAGUACCUAAUCAACAAACAUUAUUGACUUAAUAUGAUAAAAAUAGAGAUUAAUAGAACCUUGAUUUUAAAUAAUCUUAAACAACCAUGUACAAGUAAAUUAA